RNAcentral lists this ribosomal RNA (253 nucleotides) under uncultured bacterium. RNAcentral's name for it is "partial 16S ribosomal RNA". It matches the Rfam family "Bacterial small subunit ribosomal RNA", at positions 524 to 776 of the family's 1533-position model. The record is from RNAcentral.
UACGGGGGUGGCGAGCGUUACUCGGAUUCAUUGGGUGUAAAGGGCAGGUAGGCUGUUAUGUAAGUUGGAGGUGAAAUCCUAAGGCUCAACCUUAGAACUGCCUUCAAGACUGCAUAGCUUGAGAUCAGAAGAGGAGAGCGGAAUUCCCGGUGUAAGGGUGAAAUCUGUAGAUAUCGGGAGGAACACCAGUGGCGAAGGCGGCUCUCUGGUCUGAUUCUGACGCUGAGCUGCGAAAGCUCGGGGAGCAAACAGG